Molecule: ribosomal RNA, 465 nt
Filed under: uncultured Klebsiella sp.
Lineage: Bacteria; Pseudomonadati; Pseudomonadota; Gammaproteobacteria; Enterobacterales; Enterobacteriaceae
Description: bacterial SSU rRNA
Rfam family: Bacterial small subunit ribosomal RNA
Source: RNAcentral
CCUACGGGAGGCUGCAGUGGGGAAUAUUGCACAAUGGGCGCAAGCCUGAUGCAGCCAUGCCGCGUGUGUGAAGAAGGCCUUCGGGUUGUAAAGCACUUUCAGCGGGGAGGAAGGCGUUAAGGUUAAUAACCUUGUCGAUUGACGUUACCCGCAGAAGAAGCACCGGCUAACUCCGUGCCAGCAGCCGCGGUAAUACGGAGGGUGCAAGCGUUAAUCGGAAUUACUGGGCGUAAAGCGCACGCAGGCGGUCUGUCAAGUCGGAUGUGAAAUCCCCGGGCUCAACCUGGGAACUGCAUUCGAAACUGGCAGGCUAGAGUCUUGUAGAGGGGGGUAGAAUUCCAGGUGUAGCGGUGAAAUGCGUAGAGAUCUGGAGGAAUACCGGUGGCGAAGGCGGCCCCCCGGACAAAGACUGACGCUCAGGUGCGAAAGCGUGGGGAGCAAACAGGAUUAGAUACCCGGGUAGUC